RNAcentral lists this ribosomal RNA (1324 nucleotides) under uncultured bacterium. RNAcentral describes it as "bacterial SSU rRNA". It matches the Rfam family "Bacterial small subunit ribosomal RNA", at positions 28 to 1393 of the family's 1533-position model. The record is from RNAcentral.
GAUGAAUGCUGGCGGCGUGCCUAACACAUGCAAGUCGAGCGGCAGCGCGAGUAGUUUACUACUUGGCGGCGAGCGGCGGACGGCUGAGUAACACGUGGGAACAUACCCCAAAGUGAGGGAUAACCGCCCGAAAGGGUGGCUAAUACCGCAUAUGAUCUUCGGAUUAAAGGAUUUAUCCGCUUUGGGAAUGGCCUGCGUACGAUUAGAUAGUUGGUGAGGUAAUGGCUCACCAAGUCGACGAUCGUUAGCUGGUCUGAGAGGAUGACCAGCCAGACUGGAACUGAGACACGGUCCAGACUCCUACGGGAGGCAGCAGUGAGGAAUCUUCCACAAUGGGCGAAAGCCUGAUGGAGCAACGCCGCGUGCAGGAUGAAGGCCUUCGGGUCGUAAACUGCUUUUAUGAGUGAAGAAUAUGACGGUAACUCAUGAAUAAGCACCGGCUAACUACGUGCCAGCAGCCGCGGUCAUACGUAGGGUGCAAGCAUUAUCCGGAGUGACUGGGCGUAAAGAGUUGCGUAGGUGGUUCGUAAAGUGAAUAGUGAAAUCUGGUGGCUCAACCAUACAGGCUAUUAUUCAAACUCACGAACUCGAGAAUGGUAGAGGUAACUGGAAUUUCUAGUGUAGGAGUGAAAUCCGUAGAUAUUAGAAGGAACACCAAUGGCGUAGGCAGGUUACUGGACCAUUUCUGACACUGAGGCACGAAAGCGUGGGGAGCGAACGGGAUUAGAUACCCCGGUAGUCCACGCCGUAAACGAUGGAUACUAGCUGUCAGGGGUAUCGACCCCCUUGGUAGCGAAGCUAACGCGUUAAGUAUCCCGCCUGUGGAGUACGGUCGCAAGACUAAAACAUAAAGGAAUUGACGGGGACCCGCACAAGCGGUGGAUCAUGUUCUUUAAUUCGAUGAUAAACGAUGAACCUUACCAGGGCUUGACAUCCCGAGAAUUACUCCGAAAGGAGUGAGUGCUUUUAGAACUCGGUGACAGAUCUUGCAUGGCCGUCGUCAGCUCGUGUCGUGAGAUGUUUGGUUAAGUCCAUCAACGAGCGCAACCCUUGUGAAUAGUUGUAUUUUUCUAUUCAGACUGCCCCGGCAACGGGGAGGAAGGAGGGGAUGAUGUCAGGUCAGUAUUAGUCUUACGUCCUGGGCUAGAAACGUGAUACAAUGGCCGGUACAAUGCGUAGCGAAGCAGCAAUGUGAAGCAAAUCGCAUCAAAGCCGGUCCCAGUUCGGAUUGGGGGCUGAAACUCGCCCCCAUGAAGUCGGAAUCGCUAGUAAUCGCAGAUCAGCAUGUUGCGGUGAAUACGUUCCCGGGUCUUGUACACACCGC